Molecule: ribosomal RNA, 440 nt
Filed under: uncultured bacterium
Lineage: Bacteria
Description: partial 16S ribosomal RNA
Rfam family: Bacterial small subunit ribosomal RNA
Source: RNAcentral
CCUACGGGUGGCAGCAGUGGGGGAUAUUGCACAAUGGGGGAAACCCUGAUGCAGCGACGCCGCGUGUGGUAAGACGGUCUUCUGGAUUGUAAACCACUGUUCCCAGGGACGAAAAUGACGGUACCUGGGGAGGACGCUCCGGCAAACUACGUGCCAGCAGCCGCGGUAAUACGUAGGGAGCACGCGUUGUCCGGAAUUACUGGGUGUAAAGGGAGCGUAGGCGGGGAUGCAAGUUGGGUGUAAAAACUACCGGCUCAACCGAUAGUCGCACUCAAAACUGCAACUCUUGAGUGAAGUAGAGGCAGGCGGAAUUCCUAGUGUAGCGGUGAAAUGCGUAGAUAUUAGGAGGAACACCAGUGGCGAAGGCGGCCUGCUGGGCUUUAACUGACGCUGAGGCUCGAAAGUGUGGGGAGCAAACAGGAUUAGAUACCCUAGUAGUC